AGUGAACGCUGGCGGCAUGCCUUACACAUGCAAGUCGAACGGCAGCACAGGCUUCGCCCUCGCGUCCGGUGGCCAACUGGCGAGCAGUUCAUCGAUACGUGGCCAGCUGCGGUUGCUUGCUCGGCGACAGCCGGAAAAAUACGCCAUUCCACCUGACGGCGUACGCGGGGGAUCUUGGGAUCUUCGGCUCUUGCACGAGCCGAUGAGCCGAUGGCUGAUUAGCUAGUUGGCGGGGUAAAGGCCUACCAAGGCGACGAUCCGUAGCUGGUCUGAGAGGACGACCAGCCACACUGGGACUGAGACACGGCCCAGACUCCUACGGGAGGCAGCAGUGGGGAAUUUUGGACAAUGGGCGAAAGCCUGAUCCAGCAAUGCCGCGUGUGUGAUGAAGGCCUUCGGGUUGUAAAGCACUUUUGGCGGGAACGAAAAGCACUGUGCUAAUACCACGGUUCGAUGACGGUACCCGCAGAAUAAGCACCGGCUAACUUCGUG
Molecule: ribosomal RNA, 492 nt
Filed under: uncultured bacterium
Lineage: Bacteria
Description: partial 16S ribosomal RNA
Rfam family: Bacterial small subunit ribosomal RNA
Source: RNAcentral